Molecule: long non-coding RNA, 5048 nt
Filed under: Gossypium barbadense (sea-island cotton)
Lineage: Eukaryota; Viridiplantae; Streptophyta; Magnoliopsida; Malvales; Malvaceae
Description: long non-coding RNA (GBAR_LNC023041)
Source: RNAcentral
AAAAACUAAAAGUGCAGUAAACUUGAAGAAGAAAAUAGGAGAAAAUAACUACUAAGUUAAGAAAGGAAAAGGCUAGAAACCUAAAAAUGGUGAGGGAAUAAAAGAUAUUCACAAAAAGAUUAUAAAAGAUCCCUUCUUUAGUUGCGGCAUAAGGAUGCCUUAAACACAUCAGAUUCCCUAACCUAAUAUUGACAAAAAUACCUUUAAAGAAUGUGAUAUGACUUAAGCUGAGUUUGGACACAAAAUUGCCCCUGUAGUUUUUUGCACUCGUCAGACUUCAGUGUCGCCACACCCAAGCUUUGGUGUUGCGACAUUCGCAGCUGUGGGUAUGAGCUUGGCUUGGAGGUUCUUGGUGUACGCUUGGAGAACUCGGUGUCGCUACACAAGGCACUGGGUCCUUUCACUUCAACAUUUGGCUUGGAGUUACAACCUUAAGGGCUUGUGGUUGAGACUCGGUGUCGCGACUUCAGUGACAAGUUACUCCAACUUGAGUUUUCGUUGAAGUUCACAUCUUUGAGGUGGUGAAUGGUCAAUGUCUCAACACACAUGCACCUGUGUCUCGACCCCCACAACAGUUGAGGUCCUCUUUAAUGUUUGGCCUUAAUCAUCUCCCUACACAAGCUCAAAUCAAUUAUUAGUCUCUUCAUAGCAUAGUUUUGCCAUUUUGGGUUUUAAAAGAAGUAAAAUGUAAGAAAAGCUAUCAUUAACACUAAAAUCUAAUAAUUGAUAAAAAGCAUUAAAAAAAACUCAUAAGCUAUUUGAAUACAAACUCAUUAAGUAUUUUGAGAGAGUAUAAUUUUAUAUAUUAAAUUACGACAAAUCAAUUAUCAAAUUUAGAAACUAAAUCUUACUUUUUCCCUUAGAUUUACUAUAUUUUAUAUCAAUUUAGUUUUAGAUCAAGUUUAUUUAAUUAUGUAUUAUAUUCUUUAAUUGAAAGUACUUUAAAUUCGACCAAUUAACCAAAAAAGGCCUAUUUCUAAAAAAUUAUGGAAAUGGGUUAGUUUUUUCAAAAAUAACAGGAAUUGUCCGAUUUUACAAAAACACACUGAAUUGGCGUCGUUUUCAAGGGAAAUGUAGAAAAGCGCAUCCAGUUCAGCAUUUUUUUUCCUGAUGUCAUGUAAAACGCGCUGAUGUGGAAGCGUUUUACAAAAAAGUGUCCACGUGGGCGCACUUUUGCCUGUGCUCCAACGGCUAUUUGAACUAGCCGUUGGACCCCCCAAUGGUCCCAAAAUAAGUAUAAACCCCCCACACAUUUUUCACACACAAUUCUCACAAAUUCUCUUCUAACUUCUCAAAAUUUCUCACAAUUCUAAAAAGACUUUCAAAUUAUUAUCCUAAAUUCUAUUUUUAUCUUAUUAUUUUUUAUUAGUAAUUCCAAGAAAUGAUAUUUUUAUUAAAAAUUUGUUCGUGUUCAAUUUAACAAUGGUCGGGUCUCUAAUCUGUCUUGAUGACAAGCACAUCUUCGUCAAUUACUUGCAAAUGAUAAGAAUAAUUUUAAUUUUUUUUAUUUCUUAGUUAUAAUCGAACUUAAUAUUUUUUAUUACUUUUAUGUAAAUAAAUGGAAGAUAGAAUUUUGCAAUGUCAUAUUCUUAAUCUACCCGAUCCUCCAUCACCGUUGAUCAAAACAUACUUGAAGGAAGUUGGAUUUUUCCACCGUUGAUCCUAAAGGUCUCAAGUUCAAAUUUUGUAAAUGAAGAAAAUAUUGUAGAAAGAACUUUGUCUCUAGUUAAGGAUUUGAUUCAACUCAAUUUCGGAUUUAAUCAAAUUUUAAUAUGAUUGUCAACCUCCAAAAAAUUGUGCUCGAGGCAUCUAUGCUCGAUUUUAUUCUCAGGUUUUAUCUCCUGAUUUUGUGAAGAGAUCUUCAGAAAGUCAUGGUAAGAACGUCUCACCCGUCAAAUGCUCACAUUUCCUUAAAAUAAUGUCUCAAAUUUAAAUUUUAUCAAUGGGGAUAAUAAUAUUAAAUUUUGUUGUCUCGUUUAAAAAUAUAAGUCAACUCGAUUUUAAAUUUACUCACAAGUCACAACCUAAUACGCCCAAAACUCAUUUUAGGGUCCAUUUGUUUACAUGUAAAAAGUUUUAUGGAAAAUAUUUUUUGUACUUUCUUAUGUUUGUUUUACAGAAAAUAGCUUGGUCAACGGAAAAUGAUUUACAGGUUAACGUAAAAUAAGCCUUUUUUUUUUGUAAAAUGACUUACCAUUUUAAAUAGUGUAAGUCAUUUUUCAAAAAAAGAGCUCCUCCAUGGGUAAUUUUAUUUUUAUAUAAAAAUUAAUUUAAAUCUAACUUAACAUUAUUAUAUUGAUAAUAAAAUUCAUUUUUAUUUUUAAAAAUAUUUAAAAUUAUUAAAAUAUAAUAUUAUAUUUUCAAUAUUAUUAAAUGUACAUAUUUAAUUAUUUAUAUUAAGUCAUAUAUAAUAAUUUAUUUAAUAUUUCAAUUUUAUUUUAAUAAUAAAUUUUAAAAAUAAUAUUUUUUAAAUAAUAUUCUUCACAUAUUAUUGAAAAUAUUUAAUAUUAAUAUUUUAAUAAUAAAUGUUUUGUAGUAUAAAUGUUAAAAUAUGUUAUAAGUCUACGAACUCUUUACAAAACUACAAUUUAGUCUCUACACUUUUAUUUUCAAGAAUUUAAUCCCUCUACUUUUCAGAUUUGAAAAUCAGGUCCAAUUGUAGACAUUGUUAAAUUUUUUUUGUCAAUUCUGUUGAUGUCACAUUUUUAAAUAAAAAAAUGCACUUUUGGCAUGUAACUAAAAAAAUAACAUUAUAAUAAAUUUGAAUUUAACAAAGUAUUUUUAAUAUAUGCAAAAAUAAUAUAAAAUAUAAAAUUAUAGAUAUAAAAUAAACUCAAUUAAAUAAUGAAGAUAAGAAAAUAUCAAAUGUAUGUUUGUUUCAUUGAAAAUAGUUUUUAUGAAAUAUUUUUUAAAAAAUCUGUCAAAUAAAAAAAAUAUUUUACACUGAUUCAUUAAAAAAAUCAAAAAAUAUUAAUUUGUUAAAAAUAAAUAAUUUUUCAAAAACAAUUUUUUUAAGUCAUUUUCAAUAAAAUAAAUAUAUUCUUAAUUUACAUUAAUUGGGAAUACGGAAGGGAGAAAAGAUAGUUGGAAUAAUUUAAAUGUAAAGGGCAAAUUAUGUUUAAUUAAUGAUAAUUAAAUACAUAAAUAAUUAAGAAGGUGGGUACAGGUUCAAUUAAUUAGCAGUGAAAGCGACGCCGCCACUGCCGAAGAAACUGUACCAACUUUGUUUAAAAUCUCGUCAGCUUUGAUUUAAACACUGUACCAACCAACCGUUUACGUUAUGUAUGAGCUGCAUAUGCUUAAAAUGGCAUUUUUUUACUCUUUUAGAAACAUAAUAUUAUUUUAAAUUUUAAAAAUAAAUUUUAAGUCCAAUUCUAUAGAAAAUCCCUGGAUUAUGCAUUUUAGGUAGAUUUAGUCCCUAAGCUAUAGUUUCAUCAUUUUCAUCCUUUUUACUUUUUCCAAAUAUGGGUGAAGUAUCAUAGAAACCCAUGUACUAAGAUUUAAAUUGCAUUUUACCUCAUUUAUUAAAAAAUUAAAUAAAUUAAUUAUGUACAUUAAAUCUAUGAGCAAAUCGAUCAUUUUUAUUAAAAUUUUCAUCCAUUUGUACUAUUAAAAAUUUAUGUAACUGAUGGAAUAGUCAAAAACUAACAUGUGGCAUGUUAUGUAUAUCUCGUGCUAAUGUAUAUAGACUAAUUUUUAACGUAUGAAGAUUAAUUUGCUCAUAUUUUGAAUAGAUAAGAAAAUAUAAUUAUUAAUACCGGAACUUCCAUGAUACUAUUACUUACAAAAUGUAUAUUUUUAAUCUUGAAGUCAAUUUUUUUUCAUUAAUUUCAUUAAAUAAUUUCACGUGACUUUUUUUAAAACAUAUGAUUAUAUUAUAUAUAUAACCUUAACAUCAUUUUACAACUGGACAAAUUUUUUACAAAUUUAAAAAAGAUUGUAUAAUAUUUGUUCAAGUAUACAAAAAUGCAGAUGUGUGACUAUAUGAUCAAAAAAAUAAACUACGUUCCUUCAAAAUAAAUAAAUAAACUACAUAAAACAUGCAAUUUGAAGAUUCAAAUUAUAAAUAGGACUAGAUCAACAAAAAAUGCACAAUGCAAGCACCUGCCAUAAAAUUUCACCUAAAUUUUGUUAAUGGUUAUUAAAAAUAAAAAACGAAACUUGGGAAAUAAUUAAUUCUCUUAAUACUGUUCAUACUAAAUUAUCUAAAGCAAACUAUAUCAGAAAUGAAAUCCAAAUAAUUUGGCACUAAAAGAAACACUUACUAAUCUCAUUAUUGACCACUAUUACUCAAUGUUUUCUUUAUAAGCACUGCUAAUUUAUCAUAUAUAUAUAUGAUAUAAGUAAUUAGUAACGAAAUCAAUUAUAUAUUAGCAAGGUAAAAGAAUGCAACCAUAAUAUAAAAAUAAAGAAAAAAAAUUUUCAUUUGUUGCUGAACUAAAAAGCUAUAAAUAAUAGCUAAAUAUUAAGAACAAAGUUACAUAUAUAUUAUAUAUUUCUAAAUUAUCAUUAUCACGAAAAUAAUCACGUAAAAAUUGAAUUUAAAAAAAUCCCCAGAAAACAAGAACAUGAAAGAAGGAAGAAGAAAGUGCCUGGCUUUCCCAUGUACGCCGCCAAAAAAAGCUUCUUUUUCUUUUUGCAAUAAAUUGUUGGCCUUGAAACGAUGACCAAUACGUCGUUGUAAGCAUUAUUUCCAGAAAAUUAUUAUUGCUUUUGAAGAUGGCAUUAUGAUGAUACUACGGGUCCCUUUCAAAGCAAGAGCGGUGACCUCGUCGUCAUGUUUCUUCCUCUUCUUCAUGAUUUGUUGGGCUCAGGCGACUGUAAUAAGGAAAAUUAGAGGGAAAAGAAAGGAUAGAGUGAAGGGUUUUUGAAUAGGGCUUAACGCAAAAGAAGAAGAAGAAAAUAUAAAAUAUAAAUAGGGUGAAGGAAAGUUAUAGGCAGGGGCAAAGGGAAAAUAAGGGGUGUUUCCCUAGAAGAUGACGACUCCGUUUCCCGUUUACUCUUGCUUUUAUUUAUUUUUUUCAAUUUUUCUAAACAAUUAAUUAAAU